RNAcentral lists this ribosomal RNA (492 nucleotides) under uncultured bacterium. RNAcentral's name for it is "partial 16S ribosomal RNA". It matches the Rfam family "Bacterial small subunit ribosomal RNA", at positions 29 to 507 of the family's 1533-position model. The record is from RNAcentral.
AGUGAACGCUGGCGGUAGGCCUAACACAUGCAAGUCGAACGGCAGCACAGUAAGAGCUUGCUCUUACGGGUGGCGAGUGGCGGACGGGUGAGGAAUACAUCGGAAUCUACUUUUUCGUGGGGGAUAACGUAGGGAAACUUACGCUAAUACCGCAUACGACCUACGGGUGAAAGCAGGGGAUCUUCGGACCUUGCGCGAUUGAAUGAGCCGAUGUCGGAUUAGCUAGUUGGCGGGGUAAAGGCCCACCAAGGCGACGAUCCGUAGCUGGUCUGAGAGGAUGAUCAGCCACACUGGAACUGAGACACGGUCCAGACUCCUACGGGAGGCAGCAGUGGGGAAUAUUGGACAAUGGGCGCAAGCCUGAUCCAGCCAUACCGCGUGGGUGAAGAAGGCCUUCGGGUUGUAAAGCCCUUUUAUUGGGGAAGAAAAGCAGAAAGUUAAUACCCCGCUGUUUUGACGUUACCCGAAGAAUAAGCACCGGCUAACUUCGUG